Molecule: ribosomal RNA, 274 nt
Filed under: uncultured bacterium
Lineage: Bacteria
Description: partial 16S ribosomal RNA
Rfam family: Bacterial small subunit ribosomal RNA
Source: RNAcentral
AUACGGAGGGUGCAAGCGUUAUCCGGAUUCAUUGGGUUUAAAGGGUGCGCAGGCGGAAUGAUAAGUCAGUGGUGAAAUCCUACAGCUUAACUGUAGAACUGCCAUUGAUACUGUCAUUCUUGAGUACACUUGAAGUGGGCGGAAUGUAUCAUGUAGCGGUGAAAUGCAUAGAUAUGAUACAGAACUCCGAUAGCGAAGGCAGCUCACUAAAUUGUAACUGACGCUCAGGCACGAAAGCGUGGGGAGCAAACAGGAUUAGAAACCCUAGUAGUCC